UUUACUUCUCUAGUCAUAGGACUUCCAUUCAGCCAGCUUUUAGGCGGUUCUGGAUGAUGGUUGUUCUGUGUUUUAGUUGUAAU
Molecule: microRNA precursor, 83 nt
Filed under: Myotis lucifugus (little brown bat)
Lineage: Eukaryota; Metazoa; Chordata; Mammalia; Chiroptera; Vespertilionidae
Description: mir-9236 microRNA precursor family
Rfam family: mir-9236 microRNA precursor family
Source: Rfam by way of RNAcentral